This 502-nucleotide ribosomal RNA is filed under the name uncultured bacterium. Its description in RNAcentral is "bacterial SSU rRNA". It matches the Rfam family "Bacterial small subunit ribosomal RNA", at positions 16 to 507 of the family's 1533-position model. The record is from RNAcentral.
AUCAUGGCUCAGGAUGAACGCUAGCUACAGGCUUAACACAUGCAAGUCGAGGGGCAGCAUGAACUUAGCUUGCUAAGUUUGAUGGCGACCGGCGCACGGGUGAGUAACACGUAUCCAACCUUCCGUUUACUCAGGGAUAGCCUUUCGAAAGAAAGAUUAAUACCUGAUAGUAUAGUGAGAUUGCAUGAUAGCACCAUUAAAGAUUUAUUGGUAAACGAUGGGGAUGCGUUCCAUUAGGUAGUAGGCGGGGUAACGGCCCACCUAGCCGACGAUGGAUAGGGGUUCUGAGAGGAAGGUCCCCCACAUUGGAACUGAGACACGGUCCAAACUCCUGCGGGAGGCAGCAGUGAGGAAUAUUGGUCAAUGGGCGAGAGCCUGAACCAGCCAAGUAGCGUGAAGGAUGAGGGUCCUACGGAUUGUAAACUUCUUUUAUAUGGGAAUAAAGUUUUCCACGUGUGGAAUUUUGUAUGUACCAUAUGAAUAAGGAUCGGCUAACUCCGUG